Molecule: transfer RNA, 73 nt
Filed under: Stegodyphus mimosarum
Lineage: Eukaryota; Metazoa; Arthropoda; Arachnida; Araneae; Eresidae
Rfam family: tRNA
About the family: Transfer RNA (tRNA) molecules are approximately 80 nucleotides in length. Their secondary structure includes four short double-helical elements and three loops (D, anti-codon, and T loops).
Source: Rfam by way of RNAcentral
GCCUUCGUGGUGUAGUGGUCAGCACGCUCGACGCGUAUUCGAGAGAUCCGUGGUUCGAGUCCCGGCAAGGGCA